Molecule: ribosomal RNA, 486 nt
Filed under: uncultured bacterium
Lineage: Bacteria
Description: partial 16S ribosomal RNA
Rfam family: Bacterial small subunit ribosomal RNA
Source: RNAcentral
GACGAACGCUGGCGGCGUGCUUAACACAUGCAAGUCGAACGCUGAAGACCUGGCUUUUGUUGGGUUGGAUGAGUGGCGAACGGGUGAGUAACACGUGAGUAACCUGCCCUCUUCUUUGGGAUAACGCCCGGAAACGGGUGCUAAUACUGGAUAUUCACUGAUCUUCGCAUGGGGGUUGGUGGAAAGGUUUGUUCUGGUGGGGGAUGGGCUCGCGGCCUAUCAGCUUGUUGGUGGGGUGAUGGCCUACCAAGGCUUUGACGGGUAGCCGGCCUGAGAGGGUGACCGGUCACAUUGGGACUGAGAUACGGCUCAGACUCCUACGGGAGGCAGCAGUGGGGAAUAUUGCACAAUGGGCGAAAGCCUGAUGCAGCGACGCCGCGUGAGGGAUGGAGGCCUUCGGGUUGUAAACCUCUUUCGCUCAUGGUCAAGCCGCAACUGUGGGUUGUGGUGAGGGUAGUGGGUAAAGAAGCGCCGGCUAACUACGUG